This 429-nucleotide ribosomal RNA is filed under the name Bacteroidota bacterium. RNAcentral describes it as "Bacteroidetes bacterium partial 16S ribosomal RNA". It matches the Rfam family "Bacterial small subunit ribosomal RNA", at positions 355 to 776 of the family's 1533-position model. Lineage: Bacteria; Pseudomonadati; Bacteroidota. The record is from RNAcentral.
UAGGGAAUCUUCCGCAAUGGACGCAAGUCUGACGGAGCAACGCCGCGUGAGUGAAGAAGGAUUUCGGUUCGUAAAACUCUGUUGUUAGAGAAGAACAGCGCAUAGAGUAACUGUUAUGCGUGUGACGGUAUCUAACCAGAAAGCCACGGCUAACUACGUGCCAGCAGCCGCGGUAAUACGUAGGUGGCAAGCGUUGUCCGGAUUUAUUGGGCGUAAAGCGAGCGCAGGCGGUCAAUUAAGUCUGAUGUGAAAGCCCCCGGCUCAACCGGGGAGGGUCAUUGGAAACUGGUUUACUUGAGUGCAGAAGAGGAGAGUGGAAUUCCAUGUGUAACGGUGAAAUGCGUAGAUAUAUGGAGGAACACCAGUGGCGAAGGCGACUCUCUGGUCUGUAACUGACGCUGAGGCUCGAAAGCGUGGGUAGCAAACAGG